RNAcentral lists this ribosomal RNA (301 nucleotides) under uncultured bacterium. Its description in RNAcentral is "partial 16S ribosomal RNA". It matches the Rfam family "Bacterial small subunit ribosomal RNA", at positions 509 to 807 of the family's 1533-position model. The record is from RNAcentral.
CAGUAGCCACGGUAAUACGAAGGGGGCUAGCGUUGCUCGGAAUUACUGGGCGUAAAGGGCGCGUAGGCGGACAGUUAAGUUGGGGGUGAAAGCCCGGGGCUCAACCUCGGAAUUGCCUUCAAUACUGGCUGUCUUGAGUAUGAGAGAGGUGUGUGGAACUCCGAGUGUAGAGGUGAAAUUCGUAGAUAUUCGGAAGAACACCAGUGGCGAAGGCGACACACUGGCUCAUUACUGACGCUGAGGCGCGAGAGCGUGGGGAGCAAACAGGAUUAGAUACCCGUGUAGUCCCUGUCUCUUAUAC